ACGAACGCUGGCGGCGUGCUUAACACAUGCAAGUCGCACGGAAAGGCCCUGCUUUUGUGGGGUGCUCGAGUGGCGAACGGGUGAGUAACACGUGAGUAACCUGCCCUUGACUUUGGGAUAACUUCAGGAAACUGGGGCUAAUACCGGAUAGGAGCUCCUGCUGCAUGGUGGGGGUUGGAAAGUUUCGGCGGUUGGGGAUGGACUCGCGGCUUAUCAGCUUGUUGGUGGGGUAGUGGCUUACCAAGGCUUUGACGGGUAGCCGGCCUGAGAGGGUGACCGGCCACAUUGGGACUGAGAUACGGCCCAGACUCCUACGGGAGGCAGCAGUGGGGAAUAUUGCACAAUGGGCGGAAGCCUGAUGCAGCAACGCCGCGUGCGGGAUGACGGCCUUCGGGUUGUAAACCGCUUCCGCCUGUGACGAAGCGUGAGUGACGGUAAUGGGUAAAGAAGCACCGGCUAACUACGUG
Molecule: ribosomal RNA, 467 nt
Filed under: uncultured bacterium
Lineage: Bacteria
Description: partial 16S ribosomal RNA
Rfam family: Bacterial small subunit ribosomal RNA
Source: RNAcentral